AUAGAAAGUUUGAAAUAACCACUCUAGUGUGCAAUUCCAUUUCUCUUUUGUAUCACACAAGUGGAAGGCUGAACAACUAAUCAACUUAAUCGUAAAAGUUAUCAGACGCCCUAUCCUUGUAUUAGUUAUGGAUAUCUGAAUGGACUCAUGAUUACAAGAUUACGAGCGUCCUUUCAUCCAUUUGAUAUACUAGUUGUCAAAA
Molecule: non-coding RNA, 202 nt
Organism: Schizosaccharomyces pombe (fission yeast)
Lineage: Eukaryota; Fungi; Ascomycota; Schizosaccharomycetes; Schizosaccharomycetales; Schizosaccharomycetaceae
Source: the annotation of a GenBank genome assembly